This 427-nucleotide ribosomal RNA is filed under the name uncultured bacterium. Its description in RNAcentral is "bacterial SSU rRNA". It matches the Rfam family "Bacterial small subunit ribosomal RNA", at positions 355 to 774 of the family's 1533-position model. The record is from RNAcentral.
UGGGGAAUAUUGGACAAUGGGCGCAAGCCUGAUCCAGCCAUGCCGCGCGGGUGAAGAAGGCCUUCGGGUUGUAAAGCCCUUUUGUUGGGAAAGAAAUCCUGUCGGCUAAUACCCGGCGGGGAUGACGGUACCCAAAGAAUAAGCACCGGCUAACUUCGUGCCAGCAGCCGCGGUAAUACGAAGGGUGCAAGCGUUACUCGGAAUUACUGGGCGUAAAGCGUGCGUAGGCGGUUCGUUAAGUCUGUCGUGAAAGCCCUGGGCUCAACCUGGGAAUUGCGAUGGAUACUGGCGAGCUAGAGUACGGUAGAGGAUGGUGGAAUUCCCGGUGUAGCGGUGAAAUGCGUAGAGAUCGGGAGGAACACCCGUGGCGAAGGCGGCCAUCUGGACCAGUACUGACGCUGAGGCACGAAAGCGUGGGGAGCAAGCA